Molecule: ribosomal RNA, 77 nt
Filed under: Apiospora saccharicola
Lineage: Eukaryota; Fungi; Ascomycota; Sordariomycetes; Amphisphaeriales; Apiosporaceae
Also listed under: 8 other names
Description: Arthrinium saccharicola partial 28S ribosomal RNA
Rfam family: Eukaryotic large subunit ribosomal RNA
Source: RNAcentral
UUGACCUCGGAUCAGGUAGGAAUACCCGCUGAACUUAAGCAUAUCAAUAAGCGGAGGAAAAGAAACCAACAGGGAUU